This 777-nucleotide non-coding RNA is filed under the name Platerodrilus sp. MNCN/DNA:86739. Lineage: Eukaryota; Metazoa; Arthropoda; Insecta; Coleoptera; Lycidae. The record is from RNAcentral.
UAAAUUUAUCUUUUGUAUUUCUAUUGUUUUUUUAAAAAUUUAAUUUUGGUUUGUAGCUUAAAUAUUAUACUUUUUUUAUAUGCAUUUAUUUUUUUUAUAUAGUUGUUGAUGUAGUAGAUAAAAUUAAAAAUUUAAUAGUUUAUAUUUUAGAUAUUUAAAUAUUUCUAAUAAAAUUUGUGCCAGCAAUUGCGGUUAAACAAUUAGAUUGAUUUAAGCAUCUUAGUUAUUAAUUAAUAGUUAAUUUUAUAAUUAAAUAAUAAUUUUAAUGGGUGAAAUCUUGAAAUUAUUUUAUUUAUAUAUUUUUAUAUGAUUUUAUUAGAUUUUGAAUUAAACUAGGAUUAGAUACCCUAUUAUUAAAAAGUAGUUUUUUUUAUCUUAUUAUUAUGUUUUAUUUAAUAAAAAGUAAAAAAAUGUGGCGGCAUUUUAGUCUAUUCAGAGGAACCUGUUCCGUAAUUGAUAGUUCACGAUUAUUUUUACUUUAUUUAUUACUUGUAUAUCGUCGUUUGCGAGUAUUUUAAUUGAAUUUUAAUAUUUAAUAAAUAUUUUUCUUAUUUAAUUUCAGAUCAAGAUGCAGUUUAUAAUAAAGAGAGAAAUGGGUUACGUUUUUAUUAAAAUUGGUUAUUAUAUUUUUUAAUAUGAUUUAAAUUGGAUUUGAAUGUAAAUUAUUUUAUUGUUUUAUUUUUGAAUAAGUUUUAGAAUGUGUACAUAUUGCCCGUCGCUUUCAAUUUUUGAAAUAAGUCGUAACAAAGUAGAUGUACUGGAAAGUGUAUCUAGAAA